This 66-nucleotide transfer RNA is filed under the name Patella vulgata (common limpet). Its description in RNAcentral is "tRNA-Leu". Lineage: Eukaryota; Metazoa; Mollusca; Gastropoda; Patellidae. The record is from RNAcentral. RNAcentral also lists the same sequence under 1 other name.
GUUAGAUUGGCAGAAUAGUGCAUUUGAUUUAGGAUCAGAAUAAGAAUACUUAGUGUUCAUUUAACU